CAACCAUCAAGCCCCCGGGCUUGUGUUGGGGACCUGCGGCUGCCCGCAGGCCCUGAAAACCAGUGGCGGGCUCGCUAGUCACACCGAGCGUAGUAGCAUACAUCUCGCUCAGGGCGUGCUGCGGGUUCCGGCCGUUAAACAGCCUCUGUGCUACACCCAA
This 160-nucleotide unclassified non-coding RNA is filed under the name uncultured Chaetomiaceae. RNAcentral's name for it is "sequence contains ITS2". The record is from RNAcentral. Lineage: Eukaryota; Fungi; Ascomycota; Sordariomycetes; Sordariales.